This 1092-nucleotide ribosomal RNA is filed under the name uncultured soil bacterium. RNAcentral describes it as "bacterial SSU rRNA". It matches the Rfam family "Bacterial small subunit ribosomal RNA", at positions 322 to 1404 of the family's 1533-position model. The record is from RNAcentral.
ACCCGGGGAUCCGAUUCCUACGGGAGGCAGCAGUGGGGUAACCGUUCGCAAUGGGCGCAAGCCUGACGACGCAACGCCGCGUGGAGGAUGAAGGUCUUCGGAUUGUAAACUCCUGUUGCCCGGGACGAAUGGCUCCAACCUAAUACGUUGGAGUGUGACGGUACCGGGUGAGGAAGCCCCGGCUAACUCUGUGCCAGCAGCCGCGGUAAUACAGAGGGGGCAAGCGUUGUUCGGAAUUACUGGGCGUAAAGGGCGCGUAGGCGGCCUGCUAAGUCGAACGUGAAAUCCCUGGGCAUAACCCAGGAACUGCGUCCGAUACUGGUUGGCUCGAAUCCGGGAAAGGGAUGUGGAAUUCCAGGUGUAGCGGUGAAAUGCGUAGAUAUCAGGAGGAACACCGGUGGCGAAGGCGGUCACCUGGCUCGGCACUGACGCUCAGGCACGAAAGCGCGGGGACAAACAGGAUUAGAUACCCUGGUGUCCGCGCCCUAAACGAUGUAUGCUUGGUGUUGGACCGCUUGCGGUUCAGUGCCGUAGGAAAUCUGGUAAGCAUACCACCUGGGGAGUACGAUCGCAAGGUUGAAACUCAAAGGAAUUGACGGGGGCCCGCACAAGCGGUGGAUCAUGUGGUUUAAUUCGAUGCAACGCGAAGAACCUUACCCGGGCUUGAAGUGCAGGAAGUACAGAGAUGAAAGUCGACGGACCCGUUAAGCCGGGUUCCUGCAGAGGUGCUGCAUGGCUGUCGUCAGCUCGUGCCGUGAGGUGUUGGGUUAAGUCCCGCAACGAGCGCAACCCUUAUUCUUAGUUGCCAACACGAAAGGUGGGGACUCUAAGAAGACUGCCUGCGCAAGCAGAGAGGAAGGAGGGGAUGACGUCAAGUCAUCAUGGCCCUUACGCCCAGGGCUACACACGUGCUACAAUGGCGUAUACAGAGUGUUGCAAGCUGGUGACAGUGAGCCAAUCACAAAAAGUACGUCUCAGUUCGGAUUGCAGGCUGCAACUCGCCUGCAUGAAGUUGGAAUCGCUAGUAAUCGCGCAUCAGCAAUGGCGCGGUGAAUACGUUCCCGGGCCUUGUACACACCGCCAUCCAUAUGA